This 507-nucleotide ribosomal RNA is filed under the name uncultured Pseudomonadota bacterium. RNAcentral's name for it is "bacterial SSU rRNA". It matches the Rfam family "Bacterial small subunit ribosomal RNA", at positions 22 to 524 of the family's 1533-position model. The record is from RNAcentral. Lineage: Bacteria; Pseudomonadati; Pseudomonadota.
GCUCAGAUUGAACGCUGGCGGCAUGCUUUACACAUGCAAGUCGAACGGCAGCGGGUCCUUCGGGAUGCCGGCGAGUGGCGAACGGGUGAGUAAUGCAUCGGAACGUACCCAGUCGUGGGGGAUAACGCAGCGAAAGCUGUGCUAAUACCGCAUACGUCCUGAGGGAGAAAGCGGGGGACCUUCGGGCCUCGCGCGAUUGGAGCGGCCGAUGUCGGAUUGGCUAGUUGGUGGGGUAAAGGCUCACCAAGGCGACGAUCCGUAGCUGGUCUGAGAGGAUGAUCAGCCACACUGGGACUGAGACACGGCCCAGACUCCUACGGGAGGCAGCAGUGGGGAAUUUUGGACAAUGGGGGCAACCCUGAUCCAGCCAUGCCGCGUGAGUGAAGAAGGCCUUCGGGUUGUAAAGCUCUUUCAGUCGGGAAGAAACGGAGCGCUCUAACAUAGCGCUCUACUGACGGUACCGACAGAAGAAGCACCGGCUAACUACGUGCCAGCAGCCGCGGUAAU